CAAUUUCCACAGGAAAUACUUCCAUCUUUUCCACCCUUUUCUCAAGUUCAUACUCAGCUGAGGCUGCCACAGGGUCAACUUCUUCAUUACGUCUAUCAUAGUCUUCAUUUGAGCCCCGAGUGUUUUAUUCAACAUCACUGUAAGACAAAAAACAGUUACGGAUUGCAGCUGCAGCAGCCAUCUCCCUAAUCAAGAACAUGCAGUGCUGACACAAAGUUCAUUUACACUGGCCCACUAAAUUUCUGCAAUUUUUGUAUUUUGCCACUAAGACUACGUAGACAGGUAACUGCAAUCAUACAUUCAAAGAAGAAGUUGAGAGAAGAUCCAUGAUCUCCAUCUGUGACCUGGUUGUACUCCUCCACCAUCUCCUCCACCAGUUGAGGUGGCAUUGCUCUCUGACUGACAAAGAGACUGAAAGACUUCAAAAUAAAUAGGAUAUGAUCAAAAUACUACUCACAAUCAAAAAACUAGUCACAAUACCACACAAAAGGGGGCACACCCAAAAAAUCUUGGCUCCCUUGACUUUGCUUAUAAAGAGAGUGAUUCAAUUACAAACAUCCAUAAGCUUCACAGGUGUCUUGGUACCCCUCAGUUUACACCUGGUAAUCCACAUAGAUAUGUGUAUUUAUUUAGUAUUCACCAAAACAGAAAUCUUGACCUGAUCAAAUUUAAACAGCAAGCAAAUUGGUAUGGGGAACUUCAAAAGAAUAACAACUAACACAAAAAUAGUGUCCAUCUGACUGUUUUCUAAAGACCAUAAGAAGAAACAACAACAAAAUAACCCUGUUACACCCAAUCAACUCAAUUAACUGAUCUGCAUUAAUACUGUCAUUAGCAAUGAUCAAUACCCCAGAUUCAAAAAGGGUCAUCUCACUAUGCCAAGUCGCAUCAGAGGGUGAUAGAAGAAAAUGAUGGAGAAAUAAAUGUAAAGAAUUUGCCAUGUUGCAUAAUACUUUCCUACUCAAUAAAAAUAUAAGAACCCUGUAAAA
Molecule: long non-coding RNA, 989 nt
Organism: Lepidothrix coronata (blue-crowned manakin)
Lineage: Eukaryota; Metazoa; Chordata; Aves; Passeriformes; Pipridae
Exons: 3
Source: RefSeq, a predicted model, not a curated record